GUAAGGCUACGUAGUGUUUGUUUACAUUGACUUUCCUUGUAAACAUUGGAGUCAAACAAGCGUAUAUUUUAGGUUCCGGUGGGGUAUGAUAGAUGACCUGAGAAAUGUAUAAAGUUAUAUUUUUCAAGAAUCAAAAUGGGUACAUUUCAUUAGUGGAUGAAGCACAUUCAGAGUGCCCCUUUAACCUAUACAGAAAUCAUUAUGUAUAUGACGAUAUUUAUUCAAAACAUAAUCUUUAUUUACAUAGAACAAAAUGACAACAUCAGUAUCUUUAGACUUUGAAACAAGUUUGAAACAUUGGUGUAAAUUGCGAGGGGUGAGGUGUUCCAUUGUCCAACAGGAUUAUUUCAACACACGCAGGAGCAAACAUAAACACAAAAAUGGAAUUAACAAAAAACACAGUUUAAUUCAGUUGCUAGGAUACCUGAGGAGACAGCACCAUUAGGCCUAGAGACACCCAUUCUACUUGGUUUGUUGAUUGACCAUUUUUCUAUUUUAUUUAACUAGGCAAGUCAGUUAUGAACAAAUUCUUAUUUACAAUGACAGCCUAAAAAUGGUGGGUUAACUUCCUUGUUCAGGGGGCAGAACGACAGAUUUUUACCCUGUUUAGCUCAGCGAUUCGAUCUAGCAACCUUUCGGUUACUGGCCCAACGCUCUAACCACUAGGCUACCCUGCCUCUAACCACUAGGCUACCCUGCCUCUAACCACUAGGCUACCCUGCCUCUAACCACUAGGUUACCUGCCGUCCCUGGUAGUAAGAAAUGGCUAGUUGGAAAUAUGAAUUGACCAUACCUUGGUCAAAGCACUGAGUAAAGACUAUACUUCCACUGCCGAAAGCUUUUGGCUUGUUGUACACACAAUGUGAUUUACAAUAUGUAGGCAGGUAACUAUUCAGAAAGGGAGGGUCUGACAUUACAUGACUACAUGACCAAAAUUACGUGGACACCUGCUCGUCGAACAUCUCAUUCCAAAAUCAUAGGCAUUAAUAUGGAGUUGGUCCCCCCUUUGCUGCUAUAACAGCCUCCACUCUUCUGGGAAGGCUUUCCACUAGAUGUUGGAACAUUGCUUUGGGGACUUGCUUCCAUUCAUCCACAAGAGCAUUAGUGAUGUCGGGCACUGAUGUUGGGUGAUUAGGCCUGGCUCGCAGUCAGCGUUCCAAUUUAUCCCAAAGGUGUUCGAUGGGGUUGAGGCCAGGGCUCUGUGCAGGCCAGUCAAGUUCUUCCACACCGACAAACCAUUUCUGUAUGGACCUCGCUUUGUGCACGAGGGUCAUUGUCAUGCUGAAACAGGAAAGGUCCUUCCCCAAACUGUUGUCACAAAUUUUUACACGCUAGGCGCUUUGUGGGUCCCGUUCUGUGAACUUGUGUGGCCUACCACUUCGCGGCUGAGCCGCUGUUGCUCUUAGACGUUUCCACUUCACAAUAACAGCUGACCGGGGAAGCAGACGUGUUGGAAAGGUGGUUCCUAUGACAGUACCAAGGUUGAAAGUCGCUAAGCUCUUUUUUAUUUAUUUUAUUUAACUCGGUAAGUCAGUUAAUAAGAACAAAUUCUUAUUUACAAUGGCGGCCUACCCUGCCAAACCCUAACCCAGACAACGCUGGGCAAAUUGUGCUCCACCCUAUGGGACUCUCAAUCACGGACGGUUAUGAUACAGCCUGGAAUCAAACCAGGGUCUGUAGUGACACCUCUAGCACUGAGAUGCAGUGCCUUAGACUACUGCAUCCGCUAGGGAGCCUCUUCAGUAAGACCAUUCUAUUGCCAAUGUUUGUCUAUGGAGAUUGCGUGGCUGUGUGCUUGAUUUUAUACACCUGUCAGCAACAUGUGGCUGAAAAAGCCGAAUCCACUAAUUUGAAGGGGUGCCAGUACCGCUAAGGGCUAGUUCUGGCUGGGAACCCAGUACCGCUAAGGGCUAGCUCUGGCUGGGAACCCAGCACCGCUAAGGGCUAGCUCUGGCUGGGAACCCAGCACCGCUAAGGGCUAGCUCUGGCUGGGAACCCAGCACCGCCAAGGGC
Molecule: long non-coding RNA, 2013 nt
Organism: Oncorhynchus tshawytscha (Chinook salmon)
Lineage: Eukaryota; Metazoa; Chordata; Actinopteri; Salmoniformes; Salmonidae
Source: Ensembl